UGACCUCGGGUCAGGUAGGGAUACCCGCUGAACUUAAGCAUAUCAAUAAGCGGAGGAAAAGAAACCAACAGGGAUUGCCUCAGUAACGGCGAG
Molecule: ribosomal RNA, 93 nt
Filed under: Knightiellastrum eucalypti
Lineage: Eukaryota; Fungi; Ascomycota; Lecanoromycetes; Pertusariales; Icmadophilaceae
Description: Icmadophila eucalypti partial 28S ribosomal RNA
Rfam family: Eukaryotic large subunit ribosomal RNA
Source: RNAcentral